Serinus canaria (Common canary) is the source of this 2599-nucleotide long non-coding RNA. RefSeq lists it as uncharacterized. NCBI's taxonomy places the organism in Eukaryota, Metazoa, Chordata, Aves, Passeriformes, Fringillidae. The record is from RefSeq and is a predicted model, not a curated record. The transcript has 2 exons.
AUACACUUUUAUACAUAGAUAUUUUGUAUAUUUAUAUGUAUUUUUAUAUAUAAAGGAGUUUUUAAUAUAAGUGAGAUUUAUACUUUUAUUUAUAGAUAUGAAUUUUGAUUUCUUUAGAUACUUUAUCCAUAAAGACGUAUUUUUAUAGAUUUAUAGAUUUUAUCUACACAAGGGAGGUUUUUUAUAGAUGAGAUUUAUAGAGAUCUCUGCUUUCACAAAUAGAUUUUAAUGGAUUUAUAUACAAGAAAUAUUGGCUUUUUUUAAAAUUCCCUUUCUCCAGUCCCAGGCCCGUUGGGCUCAGCAGUUUCCCCAUUUCCCCCAGUGCAGCAGGAAAAUCCCAGAGUUCUCUCCCUUGGAUCCCACAGAUUCUCCCAGGAAUAAAACCUCUAUUUCCACUCCCUAAUUAUUCCCAAUUAUUUCAGCACCAACCCCUGCACAUUGAUUUUUCCAAAUGUUUUCCCACAUUUCUUCUGCAGGAUUUUGACUCCCCCCACCUGGCAGAAUGCUGAGGAUUAAUUUGAAUUUAUUUAUUUUUUAAUCUCAGUUUAUUUGCUCUCUCCCAAGUUAAGCACAGCUUAAUAAAAAUAUGAAUAUAUAAAUAUUUAUGAGGAAGUAAAUACAUAUAAAAUAUGUCUUGUUUAUAAAUAUUAUAUUUAUGUAUAAAAAUGUACCCUGGAAAUGCUGCACUUGCUGCAGGAGCACGUCAGGAAUAAAGCACUGAACUCCCAAGGGCUGAGGAGAAAAAUUUGGAUUAGAACCCUCCAGAUCCAUCCCAGAAUAUUUCCCCUGGUGUUAAUUAGCUAAGCAGAGAUAAUGAGCUGGGAGUGCAGCACCUCAACAUCAACAAUCCUCAAAAUCCUCUUUCCACUGGCUGAAAACUUCCGUGGCAUUUGCUACUUUAACUUCCACUUAUUCAUUCAUUUAUUCAUUCAUUUAUUUAUUAAUUAAUUUAUUCAUUUAUUUAUUCAUUUAUUCAUUAAUUUAUUAUCAUAAUUUUAAUUAUUAUUAUUAUAUUUUUAUUUUAUUGUAGUUUAUUUUAAUUUUGUGUUGCUGAAGUUCAGUCUGGCUCUGGUGGAGGGAGGAAAACCCAACUGGAGGAGCUCCACUGAGCUGUUUUUGGGGAUUAAUAAUGAGAAGGUUCUAGUUAGGAAAAGAUCAGGAAUUGGAGCUCCCCUCAAACCCUGACACAAAACAUUAUUAUUCAUUCAUCUGAAUAUUAUGAAUGUUAAUGGUCAUGAGGUCAAGGUAAAAUUCCCAAUAUUCCAGGGAGAUUUCAGGAAAAGCCACAGGAAAAUGGGAUUUCUUUGUCCUUUACAGGGCAAAACUUCAAGAACCUGAAGUCAAAAAUGAACAUCUCUCUCUUAACUGGAAUAACAGGAAGGCAGCUGAAGGUAAAACAUCACAUCUUGAAGAAUUCCACAACUUUUCCAAUAUUUAUCCAGGAAAAUUCCCCCAAGUGUCCAGUGAGAGCCCUGGGGUGUGGGUUUUGCAAACACGACACGACACACUGCAGUUCAAAACUUCUUUAAUCCUCCUGAGAAGGAAAAAACCAGGAAUAAAAUCCUUGGAGGAAGAGAUUUAUGGAGAGCAGAGGGCAGGGAUGGGCUCUGGAAUCACAGCACAAAUUCCACAGCCCCACAAUGCAGAGCCAGCACUGCAGGGAGCAGCAGAAUUUGGGAAUGGGAACUCUGGGCCAUGGAUGAGCAGUGGUGACAGGGACAGAGAGAGGCUCCUAAAGCCACCAAAGCUUUGCUGGGCCUGGCUUAGAGCCUGAGGAGGGAGCAGGAGAGCCUGGGCCAGGCCUGCAAUCCAUGGGGUGGGAAAACACUGGGAAAACACCAAAGGUCAAGGCAAAAUCCCUGGAUCCUCACCCACACUGAGCUGGAAUAAAGCCUGAAGGAUUCCCAGUGCUCCAUGAAAAUGGCCCCAAAGUGCCUGGGACAACACCAAAGGUCAAGGUUCAAUCCCUGGAUGUUCACCCAGACUGAGCAGGAAUAAAGCCUGAAGGAUUCCCACUGCUCCAUAAAAAUGGCUCCAAAACUGUUAUCCCAGGAUAAUAUCAAAGGUCAAGGUACAAUCCCUGGAUGCUCACCCACACUGAGCUGGAAUAAAGCCUGAGGGAUUCCCACUGCUCCAUGAAAAUGGCCCCAAAGUGCCUGGGACAACACCAAAGGUCAAGGUAAAAUCCCUGGACCCUCACCCAGACUGAGCUGCUGCACAUUCCCAUGGAUUAAAGCCUGAAGGAUUCCCACUGCUCCAUGAAAAUGGCCCCAAAGUGCCCGGGGCGAGAUCCAAAUCUGCUUUAUUGCUUCAUCCCUGGAGCCCAACUGCAAUUCCAGGUGUUCCAGGGAUCCCUGCCCUGCUGCUCCCCAUCGAGCUGAGUGUUUUUGGGAGAGCUGAGGAGCCUGGAACCUUCCUGUUGAAACAUCUUUCUAAUUGCAAUAAUUGAUCCUAAUUGCUCUUUGCAUUUCCAAAUUCCACAGGCAAGUCUAGAUUGCAUCCAAGUCCAGGAAAACAAUGAUGAGAUCCAACAUUGCCCCAUUAUCUCUCUUUUUUUUUUUCUUUUUUUGGUAUUUAAUGACCUAAGAAAGUUACAAAA